ACGCGUGGAACCUUACCAGGUCUUGACAUCCUCUGACACUCCUAGAGAUAGGACGUUCCCCUUCGGGGGACAGAGUGACAGGUGGUGCAUGGUUGUCGUCAGCUCGUGUCGUGAGAUGUUGGGUUAAGUCCCGCAACGAGCGCAACCCUUGAUCUUAGUUGCCAGCAUUCAGUUGGGCACUCUAAGGUGACUGCCGGUGACAAACCGGAGGAAGGUGGGGAUGACGUCAAAUCAUCAUGCCCCUUAUGACCUGGGCUACACACGUGCUACAAUGGAUGGUACAAAGGGCUGCAAGACCGCGAGGUUAAGCGAAUCCCAUAAAACCAUUCUCAGUUCGGAUUGCAGGCUGCAACUCGCCUGCAUGAAGCUGGAAUCGCUAGUAAUCGCGGAUCAGCAUGCCGCGGUGAAUACGUUCCCGGGCCUUGCACUCACCGCCCGU
Molecule: ribosomal RNA, 439 nt
Filed under: uncultured bacterium
Lineage: Bacteria
Description: bacterial SSU rRNA
Rfam family: Bacterial small subunit ribosomal RNA
Source: RNAcentral